AAAAAGACAAAUCCUAGGUUUCCUUGUCCAACAUUUUACUAUCCGUCUUAUAUGAAAUUUUUUUUAUAAUUAGUAUUUUCAUUGUUGUUAGAUGAUAAAACAUGAUUAAUACUUUAUGCGUGACUUGUCUUUUUAAUUUUUUUCAUAUUUUUUUCAAAUAAGACGGACGGUCAAACGUUGGACACGGAAACCCAGUGUUUGUCUUUUU
Molecule: microRNA precursor, 208 nt
Organism: Oryza sativa Japonica Group (Japanese rice)
Lineage: Eukaryota; Viridiplantae; Streptophyta; Magnoliopsida; Poales; Poaceae
Rfam family: MIR812 microRNA precursor family
Source: Rfam